UAUGUACCUCCUCCGUUCUGAAAUUCUUGUCUUAGCUUUAUCUAAAAAGGAUGUAUCUAAAUACUAAAAGUUUACUAGAUACAUUCAUAUAUAAACAAAUUUAAGACAAAAAUUUUGGGACGGAGGAAGUAGUAU
This is a non-coding RNA of Hordeum vulgare subsp. vulgare (domesticated barley), 135 nucleotides long. Lineage: Eukaryota; Viridiplantae; Streptophyta; Magnoliopsida; Poales; Poaceae. The record is from Rfam.